RNAcentral lists this ribosomal RNA (408 nucleotides) under uncultured bacterium. RNAcentral's name for it is "partial 16S ribosomal RNA". It matches the Rfam family "Bacterial small subunit ribosomal RNA", at positions 355 to 774 of the family's 1533-position model. The record is from RNAcentral.
UGGGGAAUAUUGCACAAUGGGCGAAAGCCUGAUGCAGCGACGCCGCGUGAGGGAUGACGGCCUUCGGGUUGUAAACCUCUUUCAGCAGGGAAGAAGCCACAAGUGACGGUACCUGCAGAAGAAGCGCCGGCUAACUACGUGCCAGCAGCCGCGGUAAUACGUAGGGCGCAAGCGUUGUCCGGACUUAUUGGGCGUAAAGAGCUCGUAGGCGGUUUGUCGCGUCUGCUGUGAAAGCCCGGGGCUUAACCCCGGGUGUGCAGUGGGUACGGGCAGACUAGAGUGCAGUAGGGGAGACUGGAAUUCCUGGUGUAGCGGUGGAAUGCGCAGAUAUCAGGAGGAACACCGAUGGCGAAGGCAGGUCUCUGGGCUGUUACUGACGCUGAGGAGCGAAAGCAUGGGGAGCGAACA